AACGAACGCUGGCGGCAUGCCUAACACAUGCAAGUCGAGCGAGGACUUCGGUCCUAGCGGCGGACGGGUGAGUAACGCGUGGGAACGUGCCCUUUGCUUCGGAAUAGCCCUGGGAAACUGGGAGUAAUACCGGAUGAGCCCUUUGGGGGAAAGAUUUAUCGGCGAAGGAUCGGCCCGCGUUGGAUUAGGUAGUUGGUGGGGUAAUGGCCUACCAAGCCGACGAUCCAUAGCUGGUUUGAGAGGAUGAUCAGCCACACUGGGACUGAGACACGGCCCAGACUCCUACGGGAGGCAGCAGUGGGGAAUCUUAGACAAUGGGGGAAACCCUGAUCUAGCCAUGACGCGUGAGCGAUGAAGGCCUUAGGGUUGUAAAGCUCUUUCAGCUGGGAAGAUAAUGACGGUACCAGCAGAAGAAGCCCCGGCUAACUACGUG
RNAcentral lists this ribosomal RNA (433 nucleotides) under uncultured bacterium. Its description in RNAcentral is "partial 16S ribosomal RNA". It matches the Rfam family "Bacterial small subunit ribosomal RNA", at positions 29 to 507 of the family's 1533-position model. The record is from RNAcentral.